UUAGCCUUCAAAUCUGAAUGGUCACAGUUGUGAAGUCACUCUGUUGUAGUGGUUAGCACAGUUAUUCAGUUUAUAGAAGAGUGACAUGAAUCUCAUAGGUCCUCAAACAAAGACAACACUAUCUUUUGAAUUAGGAAGGGCGUCCAGCUGUAGAAACUCUGCCAGAUCAGAUUGGAGCCUGGUGUAGCCAUCUGGUUUGCCAGUCCUCAGUCAAAAUCGUCCAACCCAUGCUAGCAUGGAAAGCGGACAUUAAACGAUGAUGAUGAUGAUGAUGAUGAUGAUGAUUCAUUGUACAGUAACAAGAUUUUAUGUGCUUUUAAUAGUUUUCUAGUGAUUUUAUGAUUCCAAUAUUUGUGGUGGACAGAUGUAAUGUCGAAUAAAAUGACUUGAUUUUA
Molecule: long non-coding RNA, 395 nt
Organism: Octopus bimaculoides (California two-spot octopus)
Lineage: Eukaryota; Metazoa; Mollusca; Cephalopoda; Octopoda; Octopodidae
Source: RefSeq, a predicted model, not a curated record